This 87-nucleotide transfer RNA is filed under the name Candidatus Yanofskybacteria bacterium RIFCSPLOWO2_01_FULL_49_25. RNAcentral describes it as "tRNA-Ser". It matches the Rfam family "tRNA". From Rfam's summary of the family: Transfer RNA (tRNA) molecules are approximately 80 nucleotides in length. Their secondary structure includes four short double-helical elements and three loops (D, anti-codon, and T loops). The record is from RNAcentral. Lineage: Bacteria; Candidatus Yanofskyibacteriota.
GGAGAGGUCGCAUAGUGGUCUAGUGCGCCGCCUUGGAAAGGCGGUAUGCCCGAAAGGGUAUCGAGGGUUCGACUCCCUCCCUCUCCG